This 275-nucleotide ribosomal RNA is filed under the name uncultured bacterium. RNAcentral describes it as "partial 16S ribosomal RNA". It matches the Rfam family "Bacterial small subunit ribosomal RNA", at positions 338 to 606 of the family's 1533-position model. The record is from RNAcentral.
CCUACGGGGGGCUGCAGUCGAGAAUUUUUCUCAAUGGGCGCAAGCCUGAAGGAGCGACGCCGCGUGGGGGAUGAAGGGUUUCGAUCCGUAAACCCCUGUCAUUUGUGAACAAUGCCUGUUGGUGAACAUCCGGCAGGUUGAUAGUAAUGAAAGAGGAAGGGACGGCUAACUCUGUGCCAGCAGCCGCGGUAAUACAGAGGUCCCGAGCGUUGUUCGGAUUCACUGGGCGUAAAGGGUGCGCAGGUGGCAUGGCAAGUUUGAUGUGAAAGCUCAGG